Molecule: small nuclear RNA, 319 nt
Filed under: Chinchilla lanigera (long-tailed chinchilla)
Lineage: Eukaryota; Metazoa; Chordata; Mammalia; Rodentia; Chinchillidae
Description: 7SK RNA (ENSCLAG00000021595.1)
Rfam family: 7SK RNA
About the family: 7SK was discovered as an abundant small nuclear RNA in the mid-70s but a possible function has only recently been suggested. Two independent studies have found that 7SK RNA binds the CDK9/cyclin T complex (known as elongation factor P-TEFb).
Source: Rfam by way of RNAcentral
GGAUGUGAGGGCUAUCUGGCUGCGACAUCUGUCACCCCAUUGAUCGCCAGGGUUGAUUUGGCUGAUCUGGCUGGCUAGGCAGGUGUCCCCUUCCUCCCUCAACAUUCAAUGUGCAUCCCUCCCAAAGCUGCACGCUUGGUCGAAGAGGACGUCCAACCCCGAUAGAGGAGGACUGUUCCUCGGUCAAGGGUGUACGAGGAGCUGUGCUCCCCUGCUAGAACCUCCAAACAGGCUCUCAAGGUUAGAGAUUGUACGUAAAGAAGAGUAGGCCAGGGGCCCACCAGUGAGGAAAACAAUCACAAAACCCAUGUUCUACUGA